GGAGGGGUGGCAGAGUGGUCUAAUGCGGCGGUCUUGAAAACCGCUGUGGGUUAACGCCCACCGGGGGUUCGAAUCCCUCCCCCUCCGCCA
Molecule: transfer RNA, 90 nt
Filed under: Pedosphaera sp.
Lineage: Bacteria; Pseudomonadati; Verrucomicrobiota; Pedosphaerae; Pedosphaerales; Pedosphaeraceae
Description: tRNA-Ser
Rfam family: tRNA
About the family: Transfer RNA (tRNA) molecules are approximately 80 nucleotides in length. Their secondary structure includes four short double-helical elements and three loops (D, anti-codon, and T loops). Further hydrogen bonds mediate the characteristic L-shaped molecular structure. tRNAs have two regions of fundamental functional importance: the anti-codon, which is responsible for specific mRNA codon recognition, and the 3' end, to which the tRNAs corresponding amino acid is attached (by aminoacyl-tRNA synthetases). tRNAs cope with the degeneracy of the genetic code in two manners: having more than one tRNA (with a specific anti-codon) for a particular amino acid; and 'wobble' base-pairing, i.e. permitting non-standard base-pairing at the 3rd anti-codon position.
Source: RNAcentral